Molecule: long non-coding RNA, 2341 nt
Filed under: Homo sapiens (human)
Lineage: Eukaryota; Metazoa; Chordata; Mammalia; Primates; Hominidae
Description: HSALNT0300860
Source: RNAcentral
CUUUAACAUAUGUUCCCACAUAGCCAAAUGAUUCAACUCAGUACAGUUAACAACUUAGAAAGGGAUUCAUUGAAUUUUCCAGGUCUCUUCAUGGCCAGAGUUGCUUUGUAAGGAGACCCUAAAUGUGGAAUAAUCAACAUGUUAAAGUAAUCUAGAUGUUUAUGAUUUGAUAACUCUUUAGUGCAUUGUUUAACAACAUGUUUUCAAUUUACUUUCCUUCAAAUAGCUCCAAAUAACCCCGUGAUUUUGGAUGAUUGAUUAUGGGAAUGCUGCUUUCACUGUACAUCCAAGCUCUCCUGGCCUCAGCGGAUAAGUAUAUGAGAGCACAGUUUUCCUGGUGUCAGGAUAUGAAGAUCCAGGGAACAAAGAACCUCAAAGAACAACACCUGGAUUGUCAAGGUUUGGCCAGCAGUGCACUUUCUCCAACCUUACAGUCAUACGCAAGCAGUUGUGGUUCUCCUGUCCAGCCUGCCACCACUGGACCAUCCCUGUAUACAUUCCUUCUCCCUUUGAAGAAAUCCACAAAAGAAAAAGCAAAAUACUGACAAGUUUUCAAAGCCAUGAUUUACAGGAAUGAAUUCUGAAAAGCAAGUGGCUAACAUCCGAGUUCAUCAUCAAAUAAUAUUUCUAAAGCACCCUCUAGUGUCUGGCCCCAAGCCAGAUGAUUCAACGCCUGGAGAAGCUACAGACUUUUUAAAAGUAAAAUAGACUCAUGUCUGCUCAUGAGAAGCAAGUCAGCGUCAUUUAGGAUGCCUUAGGAAUGUCUCUCUAAAUAAGGAUUAAAAAUGGAUUGCUGUAGAAAAAGUAAUACAAGUACAAACACUAAUAAUAUUGAAUGCAAUUUAAAUUCCAUUUUAAAAUAGAUAAUAGGGUUUAAAAUAACAUGUUGAAAAUUACACUGGAAUUAGCAAAAUUUAAAAUCUUAGGAAGAAAAAUCCUAAUUUGUAUGUGAAAAUGUUUUGAACUGAGGAAAAUUAAGACUAGCAAGAGUAGAUAGGGGUUGUCUAGUAGGAAUGUUAGACCCAUCAGCCAUCUGAUUAUGCUGCGACUGAUACUAGCGUGUAGUUUUCACCCAGUAAAUUAUCAAGUGGUGCAGUAGAAAAAGCAUGGUAUGUAGAAUCAUAAGACUCAUAGUCUGGGGUCACCUCUACUACUCACUUGGCCAUGUGGUUUGGAACACAUCACAAAAGAUUUAUGAGCCUUCGCUUCUUCACAUCUAAAAUCGUGAUUAUUUUGCCAACUCCAUGGAAUUGUUUAGACUUUAGAGGAUUACAUAGGAUACAAUGGACUAGUUCCUUGAACAAGUACUUGCCCCCAAAAUGUUACCAUUUUUUCUGGUUGUGUGACUGAUUUUGCAAUCAGCAAUUUAAUAAUAAUGCAUUCAACAGGUUUAUAAUAUGCAUUCAAUGUGACUCUUGCAUAUAUCUCAUAAAAACAAAUUUGAAUAUUUUUCUCAUUUUAUCACUCACAUAUCUUUGAGAAUGGGAUCAUAGUUUUAUUUUGAUAAUGAAGUAAUAGAGUCAAUUCCUGAACAGGCUAGUUGACUUUAAUGAGAAAUACCCAUUUAUUCACUCAUUCAUUUCAUUUUCAACUCUUAAAUCCAUAAUGGCCCCUUCACUAACUGCACUAACUGGGGUUCUUAUAUUAAUAAGAUGGACCAGAUGCUUCUAUCACCUCCAAAAAAUCUUUGUAGGCAGAGCAAUAAAGAGUACUGAAUCAUUUUAAGAAGUCGCAUAGACAAUGACUUUUGACCAUGGAAGGACUGGGCUUGAUCAAGCAAAUUCUAUUUCAAAGUUUUACUUGCAAGGUUAUUUAUUACUGUGUGGAAUCUCACUCCUGUGGCUGGGGUCAAGAAAAAUGGGGACACAGGUGUCUGCCUAUUUGCACAGGCAUUAAAAAGUGUUGUAAAAUGAGCUUCAGCCUUUUAAGUUACUGUCUUCUUCUUUAUAAUAAUAAUCUUUUCCAUUUUACAAGGUCUAUAUUAUUUUUAGGUAAGAAAACACUGUAGAGUUCAUGUUUUAUUGUUCCUUGCAGUUAUAUAAAUUAUAUUUGGCCAAAACAAAUGUAAUUCCUACUGUGUGAACUGGGAACCCAAAAUGUUGAUUUUCCUCAAGUUAUAAACAAUGUGAAGAUAUGUUAUACUGGGUCACAAUUUUCCAGAGCAGAGCAAAAUAUAUAACUCAGUUUUAAUAACAAAACUGCAUAUAUCAUUAAAGUUUCCUACUCCACACAGAAUGUAUUAUAUUACUCUGCCCAGCAAGAGACAUCCUUUGUGUAGACCACAAUUUCUAAAAUACCAUUUGAUUGAAUAGAAAACAGGUUAGCCAUUUGUUAGUUUAAA